UAUACAUGCAAGUCGAACGAUGAAGUUCCUUCGGGAAUGGAAUAGUGGCGAACGGGUGAGGAACACGUGAGAAACCUGCCUUUCAUUCUGGGAUAACACCGGGAAACCGGUGCUAAUACCGGAUACUCCAUCUUGGCGGCAUCGCCGAGCUGGGAAAAAAUUUUGAUGAAAGAUGGUCUCGCGGCCUAUCAACUAGUUGGUGAGGUAAAGGCUCACCAAGGCGACGACGGGUAGCCGGCCUGAGAGGGCGACCGGCCACACUGGGACUGAGACACGGCCCAGACUCCUACGGGAGGCAGCAGUAGGGAAUAUUGGGCAAUGGGCGAAAGCCUGACCCAGCGACGCCGCGUGAGGGAUGAAGGUCUUCGGAUUGUAAACCUCUUUCAGUAGGGAAGAAGCGAAAGUGACGGUACCUAAAGAAGAAGCACCGGCUAACUAUGUGCCAGCAGCCGCGGUAAUACAUAGGGUGCAAGCGUUGUCCGGAAUUAUUGGGCGUAAAGAGCUCGUAGGUCGUUUGUCGCGUCGAUUGUGAAAAUCUGAGGCUCAACCUCAGACCUGCAGUCGAUACGGGCAAACUAGAGUGUGGUAGGGGAGACUGGAAUUCCUGGUGUAGCGGUGGAAUGCGCAGAUAUCAGGAGGAACACCAAUGGCGAAGGCAGGUCUCUGGGCCAUAACUGACACUGAGGAGCGAAAGUGCGGGGAGCGAACAGGAUUAGAUACCCUGGUAGUCCGCACCGUAAACGGUGGGCACUAGUUGUGGGAACCUUCCACGGUUUCCGCGACGCAGCAAACGCAUUAAGUGCCCCGCCUGGGGAGUACGAUCGCAAGAUUAAAACUCAAAGGAAUUGACGGGGCCCCGCACAAGCAGCGGAGCAUGCGGCUUAAUUUCGACGCAACGCGAAGAACCUUACCAAGGCUUGACAUAUAGUGA
Molecule: ribosomal RNA, 931 nt
Filed under: uncultured bacterium
Lineage: Bacteria
Description: bacterial SSU rRNA
Rfam family: Bacterial small subunit ribosomal RNA
Source: RNAcentral